UGCCGAUCCUCCAGUGGGGAGGGCAAAAUUCAGUAAAUGGGUGUUAGGGAGAGAGGCAAGAGAACCUAACAUCUCCUUCGCAUGGUGUAGGCAUCUGGUCUUUCAGGAGAGAAUCGCUCUCAGUCUUGCUGGAGUCCUGCUCAGAAGAACUCAAGGGUCUUUCUGAGAUGUCCUGUGGGCCAGUUUUGUAAAGUUGGAGAUACCUAGAAGGUAGGGCUGUAUUCAAAAGAAUAGCUCUGUUUUUAUCUGUUUUACGCAUUCAUUAAAGUUUCAUAAGCUAUCCUAUAGGGAGAAAUGAUGCAUACAUACACAUUUAUUUAUGUGUAUGGUUUAUUCUUUUUGUGGGAUUUGCUUUGGGUGAGCUUCAUUCUUUAAAAUAAAUUUAUGGCACUUUGUAUAGAUAACUUUUGCAAUAUGAGUAGUAACUCCCACUUGCUGUUUUGGAAUAUCAAAUUUUGUUAAUAAUAAUUUCAUUUUAUAUCUAUGAAGUAUGUUAGCGUUCAUAAAAGCUGGUUUGCAUAAUCUUAAUGGGCCCUCAAAACCAC
This 545-nucleotide long non-coding RNA is filed under the name Mustela putorius furo (domestic ferret). Its description in RNAcentral is "lncRNA (ENSMPUG00000029822.1)". Lineage: Eukaryota; Metazoa; Chordata; Mammalia; Carnivora; Mustelidae. The record is from RNAcentral.